This 435-nucleotide ribosomal RNA is filed under the name uncultured bacterium. Its description in RNAcentral is "bacterial SSU rRNA". It matches the Rfam family "Bacterial small subunit ribosomal RNA", at positions 958 to 1393 of the family's 1533-position model. The record is from RNAcentral.
AACGCGAAGAACCUUACCUACCCUUGACAUGCCAGGAAUCCCGAUGAAAGUUGGGAGUGCCCGAAAGGGAGCCAGAACACAGGUGCUGCAUGGCUGUCGUCAGCUCGUGUCGUGAGAUGUUGGGUUAAGUCCCGCGACGAGCGCAACCCUUGUCGUUAAUUGCCAUCAUUCAGUUGGGCACUUUAGCGAGACUGCCGGUGACAAACCGGAGGAAGGUGGGGAUGACGUCAAGUCCUCAUGGCCCUUAUGGGUAGGGCUUCACACGUCAUACAAUGGUCGGUACAGAGGGCUGCCAACCCGCGAGGGGGAGCCAAUCCCAGAAAGCCGAUCGUAGUCCGGAUUGGAGUCUGCAACUCGACUCCAUGAAGUCGGAAUCGCUAGUAAUCGUGGAUCAGCAUGUCACGGUGAAUACGUUCCCGGGUCUUGUACACACGC